GUUAGAAUUUAUUGGAUUGUAAAUCCUAUUUAGAUUUGUUCUUCUAUCA
RNAcentral lists this transfer RNA (49 nucleotides) under Walchia hayashii. RNAcentral describes it as "tRNA-Tyr". Lineage: Eukaryota; Metazoa; Arthropoda; Arachnida; Trombidiformes; Trombiculidae. The record is from RNAcentral.